This 1204-nucleotide ribosomal RNA is filed under the name uncultured bacterium. RNAcentral describes it as "bacterial SSU rRNA". It matches the Rfam family "Bacterial small subunit ribosomal RNA", at positions 136 to 1333 of the family's 1533-position model. The record is from RNAcentral.
GACUGGGAUACCAUUUGGAAACAGGUGYUAAUACCGGAUAAUAAAUAAGAUCGCAUGAUCAGCUUUUGAAAGGCGGCGUAAGCUGUCGCUAAGGGAUGGCCCCGCGGUGCAUUAGCUAGUUGGUAAGGUAACGGCUUACCAAGGCGACGAUGCAUAGCCGAGUUGAGAGACUGAUCGGCCACAUUGGGACUGAGACACGGCCCAAACUCCUACGGGAGGCAGCAGUAGGGAAUCUUCCACAAUGGACGCAAGUCUGAUGGAGCAACGCCGCGUGAGUGAAGAAGGUUUUCGGAUCGUAAAGCUCUGUUGUUGGUGAAGAAGGAUAGAGGUAGUAACUGGCCUUUAUUUGACGGUAAUCAACCAGAAAGUCACGGCUAACUACGUGCCAGCAGCCGCGGUAAUACGUAGGUGGCAAGCGUUGUCCGGAUUUAUUGGGCGUAAAGCGAGCGCAGGCGGAAAAAUAAGUCUAAUGUGAAAGCCCUCGGCUUAACCGAGGAACUGCAUCGGAAACUGUUUUUCUUGAGUGCAGAAGAGGAGAGUGGAACUCCAUGUGUAGCGGUGGAAUGCGUAGAUAUAUGGAAGAACACCAGUGGCGAAGGCGGCUCUCUGGUCUGCAACUGACGCUGAGGCUCGAAAGCAUGGGUAGCGAACAGGAUUAGAUACCCUGGUAGUCCAUGCCGUAAACGAUGAGUGCUAAGUGUUGGGAGGUUUCCGCCUCUCAGUGCUGCAGCUAACGCAUUAAGCACUCCGCCUGGGGAGUACGACCGCAAGGUUGAAACUCAAAGGAAUUGACGGGGGCCCGCACAAGCGGUGGAGCAUGUGGUUUAAUUCGAAGCAACGCGAAGAACCUUACCAGGUCUUGACGUCUAGUGCAAUCUGUAGAGAUACGGAGUUCCCUUCGGGGACGCUAAGACAGGUGGUGCAUGGCUGUCGUCAGCUCGUGUCGUGAGAUGUUGGGUUAAGUCCCGCAACGAGCGCAACCCUUGUUAUUAGUUGCCAGCAUUAAGUUGGGCACUCUAAUGAGACUGCCGGUGACAAACCGGAGGAAGGUGGGGAUGACGUCAAGUCAUCAUGCCCCUUAUGACCUGGGCUACACACGUGCUACAAUGGGCAGUACAACGAGAAGCAAGCCUGCGAAGGCAAGCGAAUCUCUGAAUACUGUUCUCAGUUCGGACUGCAGUCUGCAACAGGGGAUAACAAAUUC